RNAcentral lists this ribosomal RNA (432 nucleotides) under uncultured bacterium. RNAcentral describes it as "bacterial SSU rRNA". It matches the Rfam family "Bacterial small subunit ribosomal RNA", at positions 917 to 1350 of the family's 1533-position model. The record is from RNAcentral.
GGGCCCGCACAAGCGGUGGAGUAUGUGGUUUAAUUCGAUGCAACGCGAAGAACCUUACCAGGGUUUGACAUCCUGCGAAUCUCCUGGAAACAGGAGAGUGCCUUUGGGAACGCAGUGACAGGUGGUGCAUGGCUGUCGUCAGCUCGUGUCGUGAGAUGUUGGGUUAAGUCCCGCAACGAGCGCAACCCACGUCUUUAGUUGCCAGCAUUUAGUUGGGCACUCUAGAGAGACCGCCGGUGAUAAACCGGAGGAAGGUGUGGAUGACGUCAAGUCAUCAUGCCCCUUACAUCCUGGGCUACACACGUACUACAAUGCUACGGACAAAGAGCAGCAAGUUCGCGAGGACAAGCAAAUCUCAUAAACCGUGGCUCAGUUCAGAUCGUAGGCUGCAACUCGCCUACGUGAAGGCGGAAUCGCUAGUAAUCGCAGGUC